This 465-nucleotide ribosomal RNA is filed under the name uncultured bacterium. RNAcentral describes it as "partial 16S ribosomal RNA". It matches the Rfam family "Bacterial small subunit ribosomal RNA", at positions 28 to 507 of the family's 1533-position model. The record is from RNAcentral.
GACGAACGCUGGCGGCGUGCUUAACACAUGCAAGUCGAACGGAAAGGCCCUGCUUGCAGGGUACUCGAGUGGCGAACGGGUGAGUAACACGUGGGUGAUCUGCCCUGCACUUCGGGAUAAGCUUGGGAAACUGGGUCUAUUACCGGAUAGGAGCCAUCUUUAGUGUGGGGGUUGGAAAGUUUUUUGGGUGUAGGAUGAGUUCGCGGCCUAUUAGCUUGUUGGUGGGGUAAUGGCCUACCAAGGCGGCGACGGGUAGCCGGCCUGGGAGGGUGUACGGCCACAUUGGGACUGAGAUACGGCCCAGACUCCUACGGGGGGCAGCAGUGGGGAAUAUUGCACAAUGGGCGCAAGCCUGAUGCAGCGACGCCGCGUGGGGGAUGAAGGCCUUCGGGUUGUAAACUCCUUUCGCUAGGGACGAAGCUUUUUGUGACGGUACCUAGAUAAGAAGCACCGGCUAACUACGUG